CCUGUGUAUGUUUAACAGCUGUAAGCUAUGUAUAUAUUGAAACGCAGUUUAUAAUAAACUCAGAGUGGCCAUCAGCCCUCUCCGCAUCUAUCCUGGUGUGUACACUGGAUCGCGACAUCGACACAUGAUUAAGUUCCAUUUCCUUUCACUUAGCCCUCUGUGGAGAUGAAUAACAGCUGAUGUCUUGCCUCAGCCGCUAAACCUGCAUAACACCUGAAUACUAUUAUUUGAUCACUUCUUCAACAUAAGGGGGGGAACUCUCUGCCUGGCACUGUGCAGGACCUCGGGGCUGCGCAACAGGGAAGAAGACAGAUAUGGACAGUCUGUAUUCUCCUGGAGCCUAUAUGACAUUGGAGGAGACAAUGAUCAAGACAAUAAGCAAGAAAAUACAACAUUUGCAAGCUAGUAAUCCAUGUUUACAAUAAAACAAAUAGAGUCCUAGGAUACAAAUAAUUAGAGGGCUGUCUAGGGAGGUUCUAUUUUAGAUUAAGUGUCCAGAAAACUCCUCCCUGAGGAUGCUGAAUGGGAAGAUAAGAAGAAGGCAGCCUUCUGACGAGCUGAUUGAAGUGCAAAACUGAGUCAGGAAGCCUGGGACUGUUCAAUAAAUGGCAAAAAGCCAAUGUGUUUGGAGCACAGUUAGACAGGGAGAAUGGGUCCUAAGUAAGGUUUAAAAGUGGACAAGGUUACAAGGCAUAGAUUGUUGGUUUUGUUUUAAGGUUAAAGUGAAGGCAUCGAAUGACUACAUAAACACUGAAAUCAAAGAAGUAUCAUGAUUAGAUUUUCUUUUACAAAUCUUCACCCUGGUUAGAGAAUGUGUGGAGAAUGGACUAGAGGGCAUAGAAGUGGCAGUAGAGAAGCAGUCAGGAGCCUCCUGUGGUAUCUUGGUGAAAGAUAAUAGGAACUCAGCCCAGGGUGAAUAGCAGUGUGAUAGAUAAUAGUGUACACAUUUAAGAUAUAUUUUAGAGAAAAAUUCUCAGGUCCAGCUGAUAGAUUAAAUAUGAGGGGUUGGGAAAAGGGUAGAUUCAGGGAUGAUUACUAUCUUUCUGGCUGAGGCCACUAGAGAGAAAAAGUUGAUAUUAACUGAUGGAGAACUCUGGCAGAAGAACAUGCUUCCUCAGAAGUGUGUUCAAAAGUUCCAGUGUCACAAGGUUAAUAGUUGAGAUGCCUAAACAAUAUCCAAGUGCAGAUGUUCAGUAGGAAAUGAAAAAUUUUAAUAUGGAGAUCAGAUGAAUGGUCUGAAUUGGCAUCAUACAGUUGGGUUUCUUAGCAUGUGAAUGACAUUUUAAAGCACUGGAAUGAAUGAGGUACGGCUAAGAGAGAAUGUAGAUAAGAAAGGGAAGGGGACUCAGAUGCUACCACGUGGAGUUUAGUUUGGGGAAGAGGAGUCAACAAAGGAAACUAAGACAGGGGAAUCAGAGAAGGGAAGGACAGGAAUCAUGUCAGGUUGUGCUACAAUAACGACUGGUCUCAGAAUAUUAGUGCCUGAUAAAUCGAAGCAUUAUUUCUCACAUGACCUUUUCAAGUUGGCUCAAGGAUUACUCUAAAAGCAACCCUGACAGAACAGGCACCAUUUUAAAUAUCGCCUAUCUUUAUGGCAGAAGGAAAGAGAGUGUGAAGGGCUUUCAAGGGGAAAUUACAUGUUUGGGUCCAACAAUGAUAGAUGUCACUUCAACUCAAAUCUCACCAGCCAGACCUGGUUGCUUGGCCCCAAAUAGUCCAUAGAAGUCAGGAAGAACUAGCUUACCAUGUGCUGAAAUAUUUAGUGAACUGUAUCAAUAUUUAUAAGAGUCUGCUUUUCUGAUGACUCAUUCUUUCUAAAAUAAACCAUCAAUCCAAAGCCACAACCAAUCACAGCAUCAAGCUCAAAGUGCAGAUUUCUGGGUGUUGGAUGUCAGUUGUUAGGCUGCAUUAGCUGCAGAUGUAGAUCCUCCUCAUGUAGAGCUUGGUGGACCAAACACUCCCACUGGGCAGUGGUGGAAUACAGAGUAGAUAAUCUCACUAAAAAUGACAAUCUAUGGUUGGAAUGAAAGCCAUAGCAAUUCCUCUGCAGAUUUUGUGAUGGCUUUCCUUCCACUGGGAAGGAAAUCUUCCUGCCUGGGGUCUCUUCCUGCUCCCUGGGAGGGACUUCCCACUCCAAAGUUCCUCAAGGGCCUUGCCUUCCCAUUAUGGAAGGCUCUUCCUUCAUCAUCCUCUUUGGAUGCACCUGAAUGUAGCAUUGGGUAAUAUAUUCCCCUUGCAGGAAGAACAGACUCUUCCGUCUGCUUCUAACUCAUAGUAAUACGUGGGUCCAAGCAUUGUUUUAAGUCUUGAACAGUCACACACUUUUAAGUCUAGACUCGUAGUCUUUUUGACAGUACAACUGUCUCACAGACUUAACUUGUUUCUUAUCUAUUUUAUUUCAUUGAAAUCUAUGAACCAAUUUAUGUAAGACAUGCCCCACUUUUUCCAAUGGACCCAGGUAUUUUGAAUCUAUCAGGCUCCUUGGGGAGGGUCAAACCUUUAGUCUCUUUUUCUUGAGUAAUUUUGUUCAAAAAUGAUUUACAAGGACCAAUUUAGCCCUCAUUACACUAGGAAAAGCAGGCAUACCACUUGCCAUUGGGUUUAGUGGACAUUUUUAUAUUUUUACAUUUUUAAAAUAUCUUAAAAUUAUUUUACAAAUAAUUUACAGAAUUAAGAGUAAAGGGAUAGUGAAAAUAACUUUAUUAAAAAUUUUAAUAAGAAUUUAAACAUAGUAAACUCAUAUUUUUAUUCCAUAUUUACUGGUGGUGAACAUAUGUAUAACUGAAAUAGGCAAUCCCUUUGAAUGCAACUCACUGCUCCUCCAUUCGCAUAAAUGAACCUGUAGCUCAUCAAUCUUAUAAAUACUGAUUCCUGAUUUCAGGUAUUCAAAUAGAUCCUAGCUUACCAUUAAUUUUGGUUCUUCUUCAUGCUCUUAAUUAAUCAAAAUGCAAUGCUUUUGAUACUUUGAAAGUUCAUAAUUUUGUUCUAGAGAGAUUGUACAUCUUUUUUGGUUUAUAAUUGAAAAAUAUUUUCACUUUUAGGUUUAUAAAUGCCAUGUGAAAAGAUCAAUGCCUGUACUUUUAAAUUUAUAAAUAGUCAAUUUUUUUUUCCAAUCAACUUUUUAUACACAUCUGCUGUUUCAGUAAAGGUUUGACCAAAGAAAGAGAACCAGUGGGAGAUUCUGUAUAUGAGAGAGAGAGAUUUAUUGCAAGGAAUUGGCUUAUGCAAUUGUAGAAGCUGGCUUAGCAAGGCCAAAAUUUGUAAAGCCAGCCAUCAGGAAGGGCAGGCUGCAAAUGCAACUCCAGCUGGAGCUGAUGCUGUGGGAAUUUCUUCCUCUAGAAACCUCAGUUUUGCUCUUAAGGCCGCUCAACUAAUUGGAAGAGGCCAACCCAGAUUUCUGAGGAUAGUCUCUUUUACUUUGAGUCAACUAAUUGUGAAUGUAAAUCACACCUACAAAAUACCUUGCAGUAGUACCUAGAUUAGUGUUUGAUUGAAUAACUGCCUAGGCAAAUCAACACAUAAAAUGAACCAUCAUACUUGUUUUCAGCAUUUGUUCACUUAUGAAUCUUAAGUAAAUUUUGAUUCAUGAGCACCAUAAACAUCAAAGAAUACACUCACAGAUGAUAGUACAGAUUUGUGUCAGAAAGCAUCAUGUGAUAAAAUUAUUCCUGUUGAAUAACUAACUGGAUGAAGAUGUCAUAUAUCUCUUUCAUUUUUAUAAAUAUAUCAUUCACUCAUUGCUUCUUGAGUUUGAGAAAAUCCAUCUGGGAUAUUUUCAUCUGUUGACAUAUAGUAUGAGAUUUUACUUAUAUGAUUGAUCUUAUCAUCAUUAUUAAUAUCUGAAUUGCUGCUAUCUGUCUCUGUUCAGUCACAUUUUGAUUCAUAUUGUAACUGGGAAUAUCAUUCUCUGCCAUUUUGGUAUAAAGUUUUCUAAAAAUAGGAAUUUUCAGAUGUGUCCAAUGAAUGCUGUUAAAACAAGCCUACAAAGAUCAUGUUUCUAGACUUAUUUUAUAACUUCUUAAAAGAUGAUGAUGCAUUUUGUACAACCCAAUUAAAACACUGAAGGAUGAGGUAGUAUUGAUAAUUUAUUUUACCAUUGCAUCAUUCUAGGUGAUUCAGUUUUAUUUUUAAUUUUUUUGAAUAGUUGGUAAUAAUUCAUGAAUAAUGAUAAAAUAAUUUCUAGGAUGACGCAAAGCAAAAUAUCACUAAGAUCCUAUAAUUUACCUUAGAUUUAUAAAAGUGUCCAACGGACCCAUACUGAGGAUAAUUUCCUCUACUUAAAGUCAACUAAUUAUAGAUGUCAAUUACAUCUACAAAAUACUUUCAUGGUUCUUUUCUUUGAAACAUGAAAUGUUACAUUUUAUGUUAAAUAUAAAGAGAUUUUUUUGUCUUUUAGAAGAUCAUUAAAAAAGAAUAAAAGUCAUGAAAUAGCAAUUGUUACAAAGAGUUAAACCACUCAAAGAAGAAACUCAAAAUCUAAAUUUAAGUUCAAAGUAAGGUGUAGCAAGGGUUAAUCCAUUCAGGGAUUAUAACAAUUGGUGUAAUAUUCAAAUAUUCAAGAUCAAGGUUUGACCUGACCUUGACAUAGAACUGAGGGUUUUUUUUUUAAAUAUUUUUUUAGUAAUACAGCAAAGUGAACAAAUCCAUCUGUGCAGUUAGAUCAUUACAUGAUGAGCACACUGAGGCACCUACCACCCACAUUAACAAAGUGAACUUGACCGGCACCCCGGAAGCCUCUCUCUUGCUCCUUCCAGUCACUGACCCCUCUCAAGGUUUUAGAUUUCUGCUUCAGAAAUGAUGUCUCCUCUGGAACAGAGCAAUGACUUUAGAAGUGCCCUCAGUGCAUCCAGGGUCCUUCUGCAAACCCAUUCUUGGCACUGACCUAUGGUUCCCUGUCGGAAACAGGGAUCAAACCACCCUCAUACCCUAUCCUCAGUCAUCCCCAUUUCUUCCACUGUGAUCAGAGAAUGGGUCUGGAGGAAAGCAGGCUAUGGACAGGGUAUUGUCAUCCACACCACAGAAGAGGAGAAGAAGAUUGUUUGCAACUUGUUCUCUCAUCCUCCAUCCAACUAGUUUUGCUGAAAGAUUUUACUUAAGAAGGGGCCAUUACACCUUAUACAAAAUUUAACUCAAAAUAGAUUAUAAAUCUAAGUGUAAAAUGUAUAGCUAUAAAACUUUCAGAAUAAAACAUAGGAGAAAAUCCUCAUGAUUUAGAGUUCAGCAAAUAGUUCUUGGACAUGACAUCAAAAAUAUGAUCCAUGCGAGAAAAUAAACUAAAACCUUAUUUAGAUUUCACUAAUUGUCACUGGCAUUUCUGUGUAUAUGUGUGUUUGUAUGUAAUACUGUGAACUUUUAACAUGUGUAUAGUAACUAUCACCAGAACCAGGGUACAGAGCUAUGUCAUCACCACAAAGGAAAAUGAGUUGAUCCGUUUUAUAUUACUAUAAGUUUGUCAUAUUAAGAAUAUUAUAUAAAUGGAAUCAUAUAGCAUGUGAUAUUUUGAUAUUAGCUUUAUUUAAUAUGUGUCAUACAUUUGAAACUCAUCUAAGUUGUGAAUAUCAUUAGUUUGCUCUUUUUAUGUCUGAGUAGUAUUGUAUGGAUGUCCCACUGUUUAUCUUUUUGCCACUUGCAUGACAUUGGGUAGUAUGCAUUUUUUGGCAAUUACAAAUAAAGUUGCUAGAAACUUGUGUGUAGAGGUUUUUGUGUGCAUAUAUACAUUCAAAUACCCUGCACAGCAGAUCAAUAAUGACAUUUUAAAUAACAUUUUGUAUCAACAUCUUCAUUUUAAGGAAUUGUGUAUAAAUAAUGAACAUAAUACAAUUAACAAAAGGCAUAAAGAGAUGUUUUUAGUAAUAAUUUUCUGAAGUUUACUUAGAAACAGAUUGAGCAGUAAUUCUUGGGUGACUUUUAGUAAAUUUGGGUUCUCUAUUAGUAUCUUUUUAACUGUUCAGUGUAACUUUUCUCUUUAUAAAUACUUUUUUAAAAUAGUCAUAAUUUAGCUAAAACUUGAAUGAAAAGCUUAUACAGUAGUUUUGCUGGUUAGUCUACCUAUGUUUUAAAAUGUCCUUUAGUUUCUAG
Molecule: long non-coding RNA, 6078 nt
Organism: Equus caballus (horse)
Lineage: Eukaryota; Metazoa; Chordata; Mammalia; Perissodactyla; Equidae
Source: Ensembl